This 469-nucleotide ribosomal RNA is filed under the name uncultured bacterium. RNAcentral describes it as "partial 16S ribosomal RNA". It matches the Rfam family "Bacterial small subunit ribosomal RNA", at positions 28 to 508 of the family's 1533-position model. The record is from RNAcentral.
GACGAACGCUGGCGGCGUGCUUAACACAUGCAAGUCGAACGGAAAGGCCCUGCUUUUGUGGGGUGCUCGAGUGGCGAACGGGUGAGUAACACGUGAGUAACCUGCCCUUGACUUUGGGAUAACUUCAGGAAACUGGGGCUAAUACCGGAUAGGAGCUCCUGCUGCAUGGUGGGGGUUGGAAAGUUUCGGCGGUUGGGGAUGGACUCGCGGCUUAUCAGCUUGUUGGUGGGGUAGUGGCUUACCAAGGCUUUGACGGGUAGCCGGCCUGAGAGGGUGACCGGCCACAUUGGGACUGAGAUACGGCCCAGACUCCUACGGGAGGCAGCAGUGGGGAAUAUUGCACAAUGGGCGGAAGCCUGAUGCAGCAACGCCGCGGGCGGGAUGACGGCCUUCGGGUUGUAAACCGCUUUCGGCUGUGACGAAGCGUGAGUGACGGUAAUGGGUAAAGAAGCACCGGCUAACUACGUGC